RNAcentral lists this ribosomal RNA (392 nucleotides) under uncultured bacterium. Its description in RNAcentral is "partial 16S ribosomal RNA". It matches the Rfam family "Bacterial small subunit ribosomal RNA", at positions 523 to 918 of the family's 1533-position model. The record is from RNAcentral.
AUACGGAGGAUCCGAGCGUUAUCCGGAUUUAUUGGGUUUAAAGGGUGCGCAGGCGGCCAUUUAAGUCAGCGGUUAAAUCGUGGGGCUCAACCCCAUUCUGCCGUUGAUACUGGGUGGCUUGAUUGCGGUCGAGGUUGGCGGAAUUCGUUGUGUAGCGGUGAAAUGCAUAGAUAUGACGAAGAACACCGAUUGCGUAGGCAGCUGACCAGACCGCAAAUGACGCUCAUGCACGAAAGUGCGGGGAUCGAACAGGAUUAGAUACCCUGGCAGUCCGCACAGUAAACGAUGAAUACUUGUUUUCGGCGAUAUAAUGUCGGAGGCAAAGCGAAAGCGAUAAGUAUUCCACCUGGGGAGUGCGCCGGCAACGGUGAAACUCAAAUGAAUUGGCGGGG